UUAAAGUUCAGCCAUAAGUUUUCAUAUCCAAUUUUAAGCAUUCGUCUUAUUUAAAAAAAUUUUAUGAUAACUAUAUUUAUUGUUAUUAGAUGAUAAAAUAUAAAUAGUACUUUACACAUUCCUUAUGUUUUUUUAAUUGUUUUUCAAAAAAAAAAUAAAUGAGAAACAAUUAAAGUUAGAGACGCUUAAAAUGGGACUAAUU
This 202-nucleotide microRNA precursor is filed under the name Oryza meridionalis. RNAcentral's name for it is "MIR812 microRNA precursor family". It matches the Rfam family "MIR812 microRNA precursor family". Lineage: Eukaryota; Viridiplantae; Streptophyta; Magnoliopsida; Poales; Poaceae. The record is from Rfam by way of RNAcentral.